Molecule: ribosomal RNA, 301 nt
Filed under: uncultured bacterium
Lineage: Bacteria
Description: partial 16S ribosomal RNA
Rfam family: Bacterial small subunit ribosomal RNA
Source: RNAcentral
CAGUAGCCGCGGGAAUACGAAGGGGGCUAGCGUUGUUCGGAUUUACUGGGCGUAAAGCGCACGUAGGCGGAUCGAUCAGUCAGGGGUGAAAUCCCAGAGCUCAACUCUGGAACUGCCUUUGAUACUGUCGAUCUGGAGUAUGGAAGAGGUGAGUGGAAUUCCGAGUGUAGAGGUGAAAUUCGUAGAUAUUCGGAGGAACACCAGUGGCGAAGGCGGCUCACUGGUCCAUUACUGACGCUGAGGUGCGAAAGCGUGGGGAGCAAACAGGAUUAGAUACCCCGGUAGUCCCUGUCUCUUAUAC